Molecule: long non-coding RNA, 8624 nt
Filed under: Salmo salar (Atlantic salmon)
Lineage: Eukaryota; Metazoa; Chordata; Actinopteri; Salmoniformes; Salmonidae
Description: lncRNA (ENSSSAG00000084534.1)
Source: RNAcentral
GACUGUUCUCUCUACUACUGCAUGGCAAGCGAUACCGGAGUGCCAAGUCUAGGACAAAAAGGCUUCUCAAUAGUUUUUACCCCCAAGCCAUAAGACUCCUGAUCAGGUAAUCAAAUGGCUACCCACACUAUUUGCAUUGUGUGCCCCCAACCCCUCUUUUACGCUGCUGCUACUCUCUGUUUAUCAUAUAUGCAUUGUCACUUUAACUAUACAUUCAUGUACAUACUACCUCAAUUAGCCCGACUAACCGGUGCCCCCACACAUUGGCUACCUGGACAAUCUGCAUUGUGUCCCGCUACCCACCACCCGCCAACCCCUCUUUUACCCUACUUCUACUCUCUGUUUAUCAUAUAUGCAUAGUCACUUUAACCAUACCUACAUGUACAUACUACCUCAAUCAGCCUGACUAACCGGUGCCUGUAUAUAGCCUCGCUACUGUUAUAGCCUCGCUACUGUUAUUUUUCACUGUCUUUUUACUGUUGUUUUUAUUUCUUUACUUAUCUAUUGUUCACCUAAUACCUUUUUUUAACUUAAAAAUUGCACUGUUGGUUAGAGCCUGUAAGUAAGCAUUUCACUGUAAGGUCUACACCUGCUAUAUUCAGCGCACGUGACAAAUAAACUUUGAUUUGAUUUGAUUUAGUAGUUCUAGUGUAGAGAGAGGAGAAAGGCUGGGUAGUUUGUGUGUAGAGAGAGGAGAAAGGCUGGGUAGGUUGUGUGUAGAGAGAGGAGAAAGGCUGGGUAGUUAUAUUGUAGAGCGAGGAGGCAGGCUGGGUAGUUCUAUUGUAGAGAGAGGAGAAAGGCUGGGUAGUUAUAUUGUAGAGCGAGGAGGCAGGCUGGGUAGUUCUAUUGUAGAGAGAGGAGAAAGGCUGGGUAAUUCUAGUAUAGAGAGAGGAGGUUGGGUAGUUCUAGUGUAGAGAGACAAGGCAGGCUGGGUAGUUAUAUUGCAGAGAGAGGAGAACGGCUGUGUAGUUCUAGUGUAGAGAGAGGAUAAAGGCUGGGUAAUUCUAGUGUAGAGAGAGGAGGCAGGCUGGGUAGUUCUAUUGCAGAGAGAGGAGAACGGCUGGGUAGUUCUAGUAUAGAGAGAUGAGGCGAAAGGCUGGUUAGUUCUAGAGUAUAGAAAGCAGGCAGGCUGGGUAGUUAUGGUGUAGAGAGCGGAGAAAGGCUGGGUAGUUAUAGUGCAGAGAGAGGAGGCAUGCUGGGUUGUUCUAUUGCAGAGAGAGGAGAAAGUCUGGGUAGUUCUAGUGUAGAGAGAGGAGGCUGGGUGUUUAUAGAUUAGAGAGUCGAGUCUGGGUAGUUCUAGUAUAGAGAGAGGAGUCUGUGUAGUUAUAGUGUAGAGAGAGGAGAUGGGGAAUUAUAGUGUAGAGAAGGCUGGGUAUUUGUGGUGUACAGUGAGGAGGCUGGGCAGUUAUAGUGUAAAGGAGGCUGGGUAGUUAUAGUGUAGAGAGAGGAGGCUGGGUAAUUAUAGUGUAAAAGAGGCCGGGUAGUUGUGGUGUAGAGAGAGGAGGGUGUGUAGUUAUAGUGUAGAGAGAGGAGGCUGGGUAGUUAUAGUGUAAAGGAGGCUGGGUAGUUGUAGUGUAGAGAGAGGAGGCUGGGUAGUUAUAGUGUAGAAGAGGCUGCAUAGUUAUAGUGUAGAGAGAGGAGGCUGGAUAGCUAUAGUGUAGAUGAGGCUGGGUAGUUAUAUUGUAGAGAGAGGAGACUGGGUAGUAAUUGUGUGGAGUGAGGAGGCUGGGUAGUUCUAUUGUAGAGAUAGGAGAAAGACUGGGUAGUUUUAGUGUAGAGAGAGGAGGUUGUGGAGUUCUAGCGUAGAGAGAGAAGGCUGUGUAGUUCUAUUGUAGAGAUAGGAGAAAGGCUGGGUAGUUUUAGUGUAGAGAGAGGAGGCUGGGUAGAUCUAGUGUAGAGAGAGGAGGCUGGGUAGUUCUAGUGUAGAGAGAGGAGGCUGUGGAGUUCUAUUGUAGAGGGAGGAGGCUGAGUUGUUCUAGUGUAGAGAGAGGAGGCUGGGUAGUUGUAGUGAAGAGAGAGGAGACUGGGUAGUUGUAGUGAAGAGAGAGGAGGCUGGGUAGUUGUAUUAUAGCGAGGAGAAGCUGGGUAGUAUAAGUAUAGAGAGAGGAUACUGGGUAGUUACAAUAUAGGGAGAGGAGGCUGGGUAAUUGUAGUGUAGAAAGAUUAGGCAGGUAGUUCUAUUGUAUAGAGAGCAGGGUUGCUGGGAAGAUCCAGUGUAGAGAGAGGAGAAAGCCUGGGUAGUUCAGUGUAGAGAGAGGAGGCAUGCUGGGUAGUUCUGUUGCAGAGAGACGAGAAAGGCUGGGACGUUCUAGUGUAGAGAGAGGAGGCUGGGUAAUUCUAGUGUAGAGAGAUGAGGCUGGGUAGUUAUAGUAUAGAGAGAGGAGGAUGGGUAGUUCUAGUGUAGAGAGAGGAGGAUGGGUAGUUCUAGUAUAGAGAGAGGAGGCUGGGUAGUUCUAUUAUAGAAAUUGAAGGCUGGGUAGUUAUAGUAUAGAGAGGGGAGGCUGGGUAGUUCUAGUACAGAGAGAGGGGAAAGGCUGGGUAGUUCUAGUGCAGAGAGAGGAGAAAGGCUGUGUAGUUCUAGUGUAGAGAGAGGAGGCUGGGUAGCUCUAGUGUAGAGAGAUGAAAAUAGCUGGGUUGUUCUAUUGUAGAGAGUGAAGAAAGGCUGGGUAGUUCUAGUGUAGAGAGAAGAGGCUGGGUAGUUUUAGUGUAGAGAGAGGAGGCUGGGUAGUCCUAGUGUAGAGAGAUUUAAAAGGCUGGGUUUGCAUAGUGUAGAGAGAGGAGGCUGUGUAGUUCUCGUGUACAGAAAGGAGGCAGGCUGGGUAUUUCUGGUGUAGAGAGAGGAGAAAGCCUGGGUAGUUCUAGUGUAGAGAGAGGAGAAAGGCUGGGUAGUUCUAGCAUAGAGAGAGGAGGAUGGAUAAUUCUAGUAUAGAAAGAGGAGAAAGGCUGGGUAGUUCUAGCAUAGAGAGAGGAGGAUGGGUAAUUCUAGUAUAGAAAGAGGAGAAGGCUGGGUAAUUCUAGUGUGGAGAGAGGAGGCUGGGUAGUUAUAGUGUAGCGAGAGGAGGCAGGCUGGGUAGUUCUAUUGUAGAGAGAGGAGAAUAGCUGGGUAGUUCUAGUGUAGAGAGAGUUGAAAGGCUGGGUUGGUAUAGUGUAGAGAGAGGAGGCUAGGUAGUUGUAGUAUAAAGGAGGCUGGGAAGUUCUAGUGUAGAGAGAGGAGGCUGGGUAGAUCUAGUGUAGAGAUAGGAGGCUGGGUAGUUCUAGAGUGGGGAGAGGAGGCUGGGUAGUUCUAGUGUAGAGAAAGUAGAAAGGCUGGAUAGUUCUAGUAUAGAGAGAGGAGAAAGCCUGGGUAGUUCCAGUGUAGAGAGAGGAGAAAGACUGGGUAGGUCUAGUGUAGAGAGAGGAGGAUGGGUAAUUCUAGAAUAGAAAGAGGAGAAGGCUGGGUAGUUAUAGUGUAGCGAGAGGAGGAUGGGUAAUUCUAGUUUAGAGAGAGGAGGCUGGGUAGUUCUAGUGUAGAGAGAGGAGGCUGGGUAGUUCUAGAGUGGGGAGAGGAGGCUGGGUAGUUCGAGUGUAGAGAGAGGAGAAAGGCUGGGUAGUUCUAGUGUAGAAAGAGGAGGCUGGGUAGUUCUAGUGUAGAAAGAGGAGGCUGGGUAGUUAUAGUGUAGAGAGAGGAGGAAGGCUGUGUUGUUCUAGUGUAGAGAGAGUUGAAAGGCUGGGUAGGUAUAGUGUAGAGAGAGGAGGCUAGGUAGUUGUAGUUUAGAGAGAGGAGGCUGUGUAGUUGUAGUGUAGAGGAGGCUGGGAAGUUCUAGUGUAGAGAGAGAAGGCUGGGUUGAUCUAGUGUAAAGAGAGGAGGCUGGAUAGUUCUAGAGUGAGGAGAGGAGUCUGGGUAGUUCUAGUGUAGAGAGAGGAGGCUGGGUAGUUGUAGUGUAGAGAGAGGAGGCUGGAUAGUUCUAGUGUAGAAAGAGGAGGCUGGGUAGUUCAAGUGUAGAGAUAGGAGGCUGGGUAGUUCUAGAGUGGGGAGAGGAGGCUGGGUAGUUCUAGUGUAGAGGGAGGAGAAAGGCUGGGUAGUUCUAGUGUAGAAAGAGGAGGCUGGGUAGUUCUAGUGUAGAGAGAGGAGAAAGGCUGGGUAGUUCUAGUGUAGCGAGAGGAGGCUGGGUAAUUCUAGUUUAGAAAGAGGAGAAGGCUGGGUAGUUAUAAUAUAGCGAGAGGAGGAAGGCUGGGUAGUUGUAUUGUAGAGAGAGGAGAAAGGCUGGGUUGUUCUAGUGUGGAGAGAGUUGAAAGGCUGGGUAGGUAUAGUGUAGAGAGAGGAGGCUAGGUAGUUCUAGAGUGGGGAGAGAAGGCUGGGUAGUUCUAGUGUAGAAAGAGGAGGCUGGGUAGUUCUAGUGUAGAAAGAGCAGGCUGGGUAGUUCUAGUGUAGAGGGAGGAGAAUGUCUGGGUAGUUCUAGUGUAGAGAGAGGAGAAAGGCUGGGUAGUUCUAGUGUAGAAAGAGGAGGCUGGGUAGUUCUAGUGUAGAAAGAGGAGGCUGGGUAGUUCUAGUGUAGAAAGGGGAGGCUGGGUAGUUCUAGUGUAGAGGGAGGAGAAUGUCUGGCUAGUUCUAGUGUAGAAAGAGGAGGCUGGGUAGUUCUAGUGUAGAGAGAGGAGGAUGGGUAGUUCUAAUAUAGCAUGAGGAGGAAGGCUGGGUAGUUCUAUUGUAGAGAGAGGAGAAAGGCUGGGUUGUUCUAGUGUGGAGAGAGUUGAAAGAGUGGGUAGGUAUAAUGUAGAGAGAGGAGGCUAGGUAGUUGUAAUUUAGAGAGAGGAGGCUGUGUAGUUGUAGUGUAGUGGAGGCUGGGAAGUUCUAGUGUAGAGAGAGGAGGCUGGGUAGAUCUAGUGUAGAGAGAGGAGGCUGGGUAGUUCUAGAGUGGGGAGAGGAGGCUGGGUAGUUCUAGUGUAGAGAGAGGAGAAAGGCUGGAUAGUUCUAGUAUAGAGAGAGGAGAAAGCCUGUGUUGUUCUAGUGUAGAGAGAGGAGGAUGGGUAAUUCUAGAAUAGAAAGAGGAGAAGGCUGGGUCGUUUUUGUGUAGCGAGAGGAGGCAGGCUGGGUAGUUCUAGUGUAGAGAGAGGAGGCUGGGUAGUUCUAGUGUAGAGAGAGGAGGCUGGGUAGUUCUAGAGUGGGGAGAGGAGGCUGGGUAGUUCUAGUGUAGAGAGAGGAGAAAGGCUGGGUUGUUCUAGUGUAGAAAGAGGAGGCUGGGUAGUUCUAGUGUAGAGAGAGGAGAGAGGCUGGGUAGUUCUAGUGUAGAGAGAGGAGGAUUGGUAAUUGUAGUUUAGAAAGAGGAGAAGGCUGGGUAGUUAUAAUGUAGCAAGAGGAGGAAGGCUGGGUAGUUCUAUUGUAGAGAGAGGGGUCUGGGUAGUUGUAGUUUAGAGAGAGGAGGAUGUGUAGUUGUAGUGUAGAGGAGGCUGGGAAGUUCUAGUGUAGAGAGAGGAGGCUGGGUAGGUUAGUGUAGAGAUCGAAGGCUGGGUUGAUCUAGUGUAGAGCGAGGAGGCUGUAUAGUUCUAGAGUGGGGAGAGGUGGCUGGGUAGUUCUAGUGUAGAGAGAGGAGAAAGGCUGGAUAGUUCUGGUAUAGAGAGAUGAGGACUAAGACUGGGUAAUUAUAGUGUAGAGGAGGCUGAGUUGUUAUAGUGUAUAGGAUGCUGGGUAUUUUAGGUGUACAGUGAGGAGGCUGGGUAGUUAUAGUGUAAAGGAGGCUGGGUAGUUGUAGUGUAGAGAGAGAAGGCUGGGUAGUUGUAGUGUAGAGGAGGCUGGGUAUUUGAGGUGUACAGUGAGGAGGCUGGGAAGUUAUAGUGUAAAGGAGGCUGGGAAGUUAUAGUGUAAAGGAAGGGGGUAGUUGUAUUGUAGAGAGAGGAGGCUGGGUAGUUGUAGUGUAGAGGAGGCUGGGUAGUUCUAGUGCAGAGAUUGGAGGCCGGGUAGUUACUGUAUAGAGAGAGGAGGCUGGGUAGUCUUAUUAUAGUGAGGAGCAGCUGGGUAGUUUAAGCAUAAAGAGAGGAGGCAGGGUAGUUGCAAAAUAAGGUGAGGAGGCUUGGUAGUUCUAGUGUAGAGAGAUGAGUAAGGCUGGGUAGUUCUAUUGUAUAGAGACCAGGGAGGCUGGGAAGUUCUAGUGAAGAGAGAGGAGGCUGGGUAGUUCUAUUGUAGAAAGAGAAGGCUGGGUUGUUCUAGUGUAGAGAGAGGAGGCUGGGUAGGUUAGUGUAGAGAGAAGAGGCUGGGUAGUUCUAGUGUAGAGGGAGGAGGCUGGGUAGUUCUAUUGUAGAAAGAGAAGGCUGGGUUGUUCUAGUGUAGAGAGAGGAGGCUGGGUAGUUCUAGUGUAGAGAGGAGGCUGGUAGUUCUACUGUAGAAGGAGAAGGCUGGGUAGUUUUAGUAUAGAGAGAUGAGGAUGGGUAGUUCUAAUGUAGAGAGAGGAGAAAGACUGGGUAAUUCUAGUGUGGAGAGAGGAGAAAGGCUGGGUAGUUCUAGUAUAGAGAGAGGAGGCUGGGUAGUUCUAAUUUAGAGAGAGGAGAAAGGCUGGGUAGUUCUAUUGUAGAGAGAGGAGGCAGGCUGGGUAGUUCUAGUAUAGAGAGAGGAGGCUGGGUAGUUCUAGUAUAGAGAGAUGAGUAGUAAGACUGGGUAGUUCUAGUAUAGAGAGAGGAGGAGGCUGGGAAGUUCUAGUAUAGAGAGAGGAGAAAGGCUGGGUAGUUCUAGUGUAGAGAGAGGAGGCUGGGUAGUUCUAGUGUAGAGAGAAGAGAAAGGCUGGGUAGUUCUAGUGUAGAGAGAGGAGGCAGGCUUGGUAGUUCUAGUAUAGAGAGAUGAGUAGUAAGACUGGGUAGUUCUAGAAUAGAGAGAGGAGGAGGCUGGGAAGUGCUAGUAUAGAGAGAGGAGAAAGGCUGGGUAGUUCUAGUGUAGAAAGAGGAGGCUGGGUAGUUCUAGUGUAGAGAGAGGAGUAGUAAGACUGGGUAGUUCUAGUGUAGAGAGAGGAGGCUGGCUAGUUCUAGUGUAGAGAGAGGAGUAGUAAGACUGGGUAGUUCUAGUGUAGAGAGAGGAGGCUGGCUAGUUCUAGUGUAGAGAGAUGAGUAGUAAGGCUGGGUAGUUCUAGUGUAGAGAGAGGAGUAGUAAGACUGGGUAGUUCUAGUGUAGAGAGAGGAGGCUGGCUAGUUCUAGUGUAGAGAGAUGAGUAGUAAGGCUGGGUAGUUCUAGUGUACAGAGAGGAGGUAGGGUAGUUCUAGUAUAAAGAGAUGAGGAGAAAGGCUGGGUAGUUCUAGUGUAGAGAGAGGAGGCUGGGUAGUUGUAGUAUAGAGAGAGGAGAAAGGCUGGGUCGUUCUAGUGUAGAGAGAGGAGGUUGGCUGCAUAGUUCUAUUGUAGACAGAGGAGGCAGGCUGGGUUGUUCUAGAACAGAGAGAGGAGAAAGGCUGGGAAGUUCUAGUGUAGAGAGAAGAGGAGAAAGGCUGGGUAGUUCUAGCGUAGAGAGAGGAGGCUGGGUAGUUCUAGUAUAGAGAGAUGAGUAGUAAGACUGGGUAGUUCUAGUGUAGAGAGAGGAGAAAGGCUGGGUAGUUCUAGUGUAGAGAGAGGAGGUAGGCUGCAUAGUUCUAUUGUAGAGAGGAGAAAGGAUGGUAUAUGUUGUGGAGGCUGGGUAGUUGUAGUGUAGAGAGAGGAGGCUGUGGAGUUCUAGUGUAGAGAGAGGAGGCUGGGUAAUUCUAUUGUAAAGAGAUGAGUCUGGGUAGUUGUAGUAUAGAGAGAGGAGGAUGGAUAGUUCUAUUGUAAAGAGAAGGCUGGGUAGUUGUAGUAUAUAGAGAGGAGGCUGUGUAGUUCUAUUGUAAAGAGAAGCCUGGGAAGUUGUAGUAUAGAUAGAGGAGGAUGGGUAGUUCUAGUGUAGAGAGAGGAGGCUAGGUAGUUAUAUUGUAGAGGAGGCUGGGUAUUUGUGGUGUAGAGUGAGGAGGCUGGGUAUUGAUAGUGUAGAGGAGACUGUGUAGUUCUAGUGUAGGUAGAUGUCACGUCCUGACCAUAGUAAGCUGUUAUUUUCUAUGGUAGAGUAGGUCAGGGCGUGACAGGGGGGUUUUCUAGUUUAGUUUUUCUAUGUUGUUAUGUUCUAGUUUUGUAUUUCUAUGUUGGGUUGUUCUAGUUUUGUAUGUCUAUGUUGGACUGUGUUUGGGAUGAUCUCCAAUUAGAGGCAGCUGGUCAUCGUUGUCUCUAAUUGGAGGUCAUAUUUAAGUUGAUGUUUGUCCCACAUGGAUUUGUGGGAGAAUAAUUUUGAGUAGUGUAUGUUUCACCUCUUCGUCACGGUUUGUUCUAUUGACUAUUACAAUUAUUAGGUGUGUUGUUAUAAUUGUAUCACUUUUAUAGGUUGAUUAAAGAAACUGCCAUUAUCAGAGGUUGGUUUGUUAUUAUUUAUUGUUAUUUCUUACUAACACCUUUACAUUUUACAGUAAUAUACAUUUUGAAAUUGGUAUUAAGUGCAGAGCUACAGAUAAUUUAUUUUAUUCGGUUAACUGGUGGUAAUUCAAGUUUUUGCAAAAUACGUUAUUGUCACGCCCUGACCCUUGGUUCUCUAUGGUGUAGUAGGUCAGGGCGUGACUAGGGGGUGUUGUAGUUCAAUAUUUAUAUGUUGGUGUUUUGUAUGGUUCCCAAUUAG